RNAcentral lists this ribosomal RNA (897 nucleotides) under uncultured archaeon. RNAcentral describes it as "bacterial SSU rRNA". It matches the Rfam family "Archaeal small subunit ribosomal RNA", at positions 23 to 922 of the family's 1478-position model. The record is from RNAcentral.
GUUACUGCUAUCGGGGUUCGAUUAAGCCAUGCGAGUCAAAUGUUCUUCGUGAACAUGGCGAACUGCUCAGUAACACGUGGACAACUUACCCUUAGGACUGGAAUAACCCCGGGAAACUGGGGAUAAUACCAGAUAAAUCAUAGAUGCUGGAAUGCUCUAUGGUUCAAAGCUCCGGCGCCUAAGGAUGGGUCUGCGGUCUAUCAGGUAGUAGUGGGUGUAACGUACCUACUAGCCGACGACGGAUACGGGUUGUGAGAGCAAGAGCCCGGAGAUGGAUUCUGAGACACGAAUCCAGGCCCUACGGGGUGCAGCAGGCGCGAACACUUUACAAUGCGGGAAACCGCGAUAAGGGAACCCCGAGUGCCAGCAUCAAAUGUUGGCUGUCCAGAUGAUUAAAACUCAUUUGUUAGCAAGGGCCGGGCAAGACCGGUGCCAGCCGCCGCGGUAACACCGGCGGCCCGAGUGGUAACCGUUUUUAUUGGGUCUAAAGGGUCCGUAGCCGGCCUGAAAAGUCCUUUGGGAAAUCUGACAGCUUAACUGUCAGGCUUCUAAGGGAUACUGUCAGGCUUGGGACCGGGAGAGGUAAGGGCUACUCAAAGGGUAGGAGUGAAAUCUUGUAAUCCUUUGGGGACCAUCUGUGGCGAAGGCGCCUUACCAGAACGGGUCCGACGGUGAGGGACGAAAGCUAGGGGAGCAAACCGGAUUAGAUACCCGGGUAGUCCUAGCCGUAAACGAUGCUCGCUAGGUGUCUGGCACGGUGCGUCCGUGUCCGGUGCCGCAGGGAAGCCGUUAAGCGAGCCACCUGGGAAGUACGGUCGCAAGGCUGAAACUUAAAGGAAUUGGCGGGGGAGCACUACAACGGGUGGAGCCUGCGGUUUAAUUGGAGUCAACGCCGGA